This 240-nucleotide unclassified non-coding RNA is filed under the name soil metagenome. Its description in RNAcentral is "partial contains 5.8S ribosomal RNA, internal transcribed spacer 2, and large subunit ribosomal RNA". The record is from RNAcentral.
AACCAUAGAAACCUGCGGAGUACCUGCGGAGGGAUCAUUACACAAUAACAUAUGAAGGCUGUACGCGGCUGCGCCCUCGGGCCAGUUGGCUGAGGCUGGAGUAUUUAUUACCCUUGUCUUUUGCGCACUUGUUGUUUCCUGGGCGGGUUCGCCCGCCACCAGGACCACAUGAUAAACCUUUUUUUAUGCAGUUGCAAUCAGCGUCAGUACAACAAAUGUAAAUCAUUUACAACUUUCAAC